This 254-nucleotide ribosomal RNA is filed under the name uncultured bacterium. RNAcentral's name for it is "partial 16S ribosomal RNA". It matches the Rfam family "Bacterial small subunit ribosomal RNA", at positions 524 to 776 of the family's 1533-position model. The record is from RNAcentral.
UACGUAGGGGGCAAGCGUUGUCCGGAUUUAUUGGGCGUAAAGAGCUCGUAGGCGGUUCCGUAAGUCGUGAAGUCAAAUCUCUGGGCUCAACCCAGAAUCGCUUCCGAUACUGCGGUGACUGGAGUCCGGUAGGGGAGUGUGGAAUUCCUGGUGUAGCGGUGAAAUGCGCAGAUAUCAGGAGGAACACCAAUCGCGAAGGCAGCUCGCUGGGACGUCACUGACGCUAAGACGCGAAAGCGUGGGGAGCAAACAGG